GCUAUAGCCAAACGGUAAGGCAGCGGACUCUGACUCCGUCAUUUUGUAGGUUCGAAUCCUACUAGC
RNAcentral lists this transfer RNA (66 nucleotides) under bovine gut metagenome. It matches the Rfam family "tRNA". From Rfam's summary of the family: Transfer RNA (tRNA) molecules are approximately 80 nucleotides in length. The record is from RNAcentral.